GUUGCGCUAUAAAUCCAGCACCAUAUAACAUCCUGUCAAUCUAAAUUUCUGAAGUGUUACAUUAGAAGUCUAUAUGUCGGAGAAGCAAUAGUCGAACGGAAAUUUUCUUUUCAUUAUUUUCUGCAGGUUUUACUUUUCCGUCUUCAGUUAUUCUCCCUUUUCUUGGAACAUGAAUCAGAAAUAGCUAGCAUCUUCAACAUCAACAAUCCAAUGGUUGAUUGAGGAAUUCAAGAUGUGCUAAGGUGAAGAAUAGGAGUGAAAUUUGGAAACUUUUUGGUCUUGUGUAAGGUUUUCAGAGCCUUACUAUUAUGGUCUCAUUUUUGUUUUAGAUAUAAUAUGCUAUCAAUUGGUGUUUUGGUUUUUCGUCCGAAACUUAAGCCAAUAUGCUUCUGCUCUCUCACAGAUUUUAUUGAUAGAAGUUUGCCUUCACUAAAAACUUAAUCUUGAGUAGCACUCUUACUUGGUGUAAAGGCCAAAGUUUUUUUGUCUU
Molecule: long non-coding RNA, 490 nt
Organism: Nicotiana attenuata
Lineage: Eukaryota; Viridiplantae; Streptophyta; Magnoliopsida; Solanales; Solanaceae
Exons: 2
Source: RefSeq, a predicted model, not a curated record